UGGAGAGUUUGAUCCUGGCUCAGGACGAACGCUGGCGGCGUGCCUAAUACAUGCAAGUCGAGCGGACCUGAAGGAGUGCUUGCACUCCUGAUGGUUAGCGGCGGACGGGUGAGUAACACGUAGGCAACCUGCCCGUAAGACCGGGAUAACUACCGGAAACGGUAGCUAAUACCGGAUAAUCAAGUCUCUCGCAUGGGAGGCUUGGGAAAGGCGGUUCUGAAUUUAUUCAGGGCUGUCACUUACGGAUGGGCCUGCGGCGCAUUAGCUAGUUGGUGGGGUAACGGCUCACCAAGGCGACGAUGCGUAGCCGACCUGAGAGGGUGAACGGCCACACUGGGACUGAGACACGGCCCAGACUCCUACGGGAGGCAGCAGUAGGGAAUCUUCCGCAAUGGACGAAAGUCUGACGGAGCAACGCCGCGUGAGUGAUGAAGGUUUUCGGAUCGUAAAGCUCUGUUGCCAGGGAAGAACGUCUUCUGGAGUAACUGCCAGGAGAGUGACGGUACCUGAGAAGAAAGCCCCGGCUAACUACGUGCCAGCAGCCGCGGUA
RNAcentral lists this ribosomal RNA (550 nucleotides) under Paenibacillus macerans. RNAcentral describes it as "bacterial SSU rRNA". It matches the Rfam family "Bacterial small subunit ribosomal RNA", at positions 1 to 522 of the family's 1533-position model. Lineage: Bacteria; Bacillati; Bacillota; Bacilli; Caryophanales; Paenibacillaceae. The record is from RNAcentral.